This 294-nucleotide ribosomal RNA is filed under the name uncultured Glissomonadida. RNAcentral describes it as "partial 18S ribosomal RNA". The stretch from base 75 to 294 matches the Rfam family "Eukaryotic small subunit ribosomal RNA", at positions 734 to 955 of the family's 1831-position model. Lineage: Eukaryota; Cercozoa; Glissomonadida. The record is from RNAcentral.
GACUUCUGGUUUAAUGCACCUGGCCCGCGGCCCACAAGGCCUGUGAGUGCCGGCGCCGUUUACCAUCCUUCCAGCAACUGGAACUGAAUCUUUUACUUUGAAAAAAUUAGAGUGUUUAAAGCAGGCGUUUGCUCUGAAUACAUUAGCAUGGAAUAAUAAUCUAGGACUUCGGUUCUAUUUUGUUGGUUUCUAUAACUGAAGUAAUGAUUGAUAGGGAUAGUUGGGGGUGCUAGUAUUGGCCGGUCAGAGGUGAAAUUCUUGGAUUCGGUCAAGACUAACUUAUGCGAAAGCAUU